This 4341-nucleotide long non-coding RNA is filed under the name Rattus norvegicus (Norway rat). Its description in RNAcentral is "long non-coding RNA NONRATT018987". The record is from RNAcentral. Lineage: Eukaryota; Metazoa; Chordata; Mammalia; Rodentia; Muridae.
CUAGGAACAGUGCUUGACACAAGGGGUCACUCCUUGGGCAUUGGUGGCCAGAGGUGAGAUCUGUGGUCUGUGGCUCAACGUCAGUGAUGUCAGAGACUUCCCCAGGUGAUGGGCUUGAGCUAGAGAUGCAGCUUUGUUCAGUGAGGUCAUAACUCCUGGCCGUGCUCCUGCAUCUCCACUCCUGAUAACUAAAGGGGUAGGCAGAGCCCUUCUCACUAGGAUCCUUAGCUAGAGAAGGAAGGUGGGUCCCCAGGGCAGGGCAAAAAUGCAAGGCUGGGGGUUUCCGGUGUGCUGAGUCAACCAGGGAGAAGGAACCCACUGCUGGGCCAGAUCUGCAAGUAGGCUGCAGCUGUACACUGGUCCCACAGCCAGCCAGCCCCCAGUGCUCAUCUCUUCUGUCCCCAGGUCUCCCUUCCCUGCUUGACAGGAUGAGGCCACCAGUGCCUUCAGCCCCACUAGCUCUCUGGGUCCUGGGCUGCUUCUCCCUGCUCCUUUGGCUAUGGGCACUGUGCACAGCCUGCCACAGGAAGAGAGCUCAGAGGCAGCAAACUGGGCUGCAGGGCAGUUUGAUGCCAGUGGAAGUGCCACUGCUGAGACAGGCCCACCUCUGCUCCCUCAGCAAGUCUGACACCAGACUGCAUGAGCUGCACCGAGGCCAACGCUCCACCAUAGGUGAGUUCCUGGGAACCAUAAGUGUAGGGCUGGUGGCUUCAGUCUCCUACCACUAGGGCUAGCCCCACAGUGACUGCUGCCUUGACUUCACUCCUAGCCCCACGGCCUGCUAGCAUGGAUCUUCUGCAUCCACGCUGGCUAGAGUUAUCCAGGGGCAGCACCAGGUCUCAGGUACCCAACUCUGCCUUCCCACCACGGCAACUGCCCAGGGCCCCUCCUGCUGCCCCUGCAACUCCGCCUUCUACUAGCCCUGAGGCCACUUACUCCAAUGUGGGGCUGGCUGCAAUUCCCAGGGCCAGCCUGGCUGCUAGCCCUGUGGUGUGGCCUGGAAGACAGCUGACCAUUAGCUGUACCAGGCUUGGUCCUGGGGCCGAGUAUGCCUGCAUCCAGAAGCACAAAGGGACAGAGCAGGGCUGCCAAGAAUCACAACAGAAGGCUAAGGUGACCCCAGCUACUCAGGUAACGUCAGCCUGGGAAGGGCAGGGUAGAUGGGACUGAGCCCAUCCUUGGUGAGGACAAUGCUGAACCCUCCUUGGGUUUGCCUCUUCUCUCUAGAUGGAUGUCUUAUACUCUAGGGUCUGCAAGCCUAAAAGAAGAGACCCAAGACCUGACACAGACCAGCUGAACCUCCAGGAUGGGAGAACAAUUCUGGCCCUUGGGAAUGAUGUGAAAUAUGAGGCUAUCACUCUCAGGGGCCAGGAUAUGAAGCAAGGAACCUUAGAAAAUGUAUAUGAAAGCAUCAAGGAGAUGGGCCUCUGAGCAGCUGAGCCCUCACCUCCUGUCUGCUUCUGCUUCAGGAGGGUUUGAUGUGCAGGUCCUUCUGUGUCCUUCACCUCCACAGCUGACAGCACAAAGCUCAGGUCCAGUCCUUGUGGCCUAAUUAAAUCUCUGUUCAGUAAGAUUGGCUCUCAGUUGCUUUUUUUUUUUUUAAAGCUGGGAAGGUUGGAGUGGGAGUUUUCUGAAAGGGUUAGAUGUCCCCUUCUAGUCUUUGGUUUUGAUCCUUGGGCUCUGAGGCUAUGGCCUGGUCGUUAGACUCAGAAUUCUGUCAGUAGGCCCCGAGGGUAUGGAACAACAGGACCAGUUGGAAGAGUGGGAUCUGGACCCUCAGAUCCUCCUUAAACCUCUGUCACCAGCCCUUGAAGUUACAUAAGUAGGCGGCUGCUGGCAGUCCAGCUUGCAGGAGGCCAGCCAAGAAGGUGCCACCCUUUCCAAGCUCUGGUGGCUUUUCGGGCUAAGCCCUACUUCUUGGGCUGUAGGGCUUGUGGGCAUCUUGGAGCUGUCUGCAGGAGUUGAGCCGGCCCCCCAACCCCCACCAGUCUUAUCUGGAGCAUCCUGUAAGUCCAAUCCGGGACAGAGGGAAGCAUGGGCUACUUGAGGUGUUGCUGUGGGGGAGGGACAAUAAACACAAGCACCAGAAAAAAGCAGAAUAGGGGACAUGGCCAGUCAGGCAGCUGGAGGGGGGCCAGAGGUGGGGGGGGUGCAGAUCCUGGGUGGGGGCUGACCUGCCUGCCUGUCAUAGAGUCUGGCGUCAAUUCUGCAGCAUAAGCCAUAGAAGCUGAGCCCCCCACCCCUAGCCAGUACGGUCUGCGAACCUCACCUGCCCCACUCUUGAGGGUCAGGACAUAGCAUCUGUAGCCUCUCCAGAUUCUAAGUGCAGAGAACCUGGGUCAGUGUGCUACACUGGUUACUGUGCCCACAUCACUGCAGGUACAGGUGGGCAGGGGUACUGCCAGUUUCUUUGUGAAGAUGGCGUCUGGUCUGUGCACACUUUGGGCUCCGAGGGCAUGGCAGCUGGGGAGGCGCAUUGGCCUGUGUUUGUGUGUCAGUGUGUGUCUGUGGGUCAAGCCAGGCUAAACUGAGAGACCAACUGAUGCUUCCUGUGAAGACAAGUUGAGGUAGGGCCAUGCAGUCCAUACCAGCUGCAUCUGGUGGGGAGUUGGGCACCAAACAGAUUUGAGAUAGAGUCGGGGGUCCCAGGUCCACUCUCCCCCCACUCCCAUCCCCAUUUCAGGACCCUUCUAUAGGUGGCAGCCUGGUGGGCUUGGAGUUCUCAAAGCUGCAGGAACCUCAGACCAUGAACCCAGGAACUUUGGAAGCCAAGGCUGAAGCCUCAGCGCAGCUCCCAGUGCCUUCUGUCCACAUAUCCAAUGCCAGCAAAGAGACACUAAGCCUCUAUGGAGCAAGUAGUAUCCCCAAACAUGAUGUGCCACCAUCUAAACUUGCCUCUUGGACUCUCUAAGAGAUUAUCUGGAUCCUGACUGCCUCUCGCUGAAGCCAAAACUGUAACUCCACUUGGCUGGCCGUGCUGCUUCCUGGCCAUGCCAAGCCUCCCUACCUUCUGCUGGAGAGGCUUUUCUCUAAGUCUCUGAGGUCAGAUUCUCCUAGUUGCCCCUAUUCCUCAAGGCUCACCUGCACAGGUGGCAUAAUCAGAGACUUGGACAGAGCCAACAGGCAGCAGUUUCGGCAAAGCAGCUUGAGCCUUCUGAGCUCCCGUGUGGAGUUUCCCUUCAGAGUCUGGCUUGGAGCCCUGGAAGGAAGCCCUGGUUCACCUUAAGGCAGCUACAGCAGUAGCAGCAACAGUGGAGACUGGAGCUAGGACCUGACCAGCAGCCAGUCUUCUCCAUCCACUCCGUCACCCCUGCUGCCCUCUGAAGCUUUCUUUUUGGGGAGGCUACCCUGAGAAAAAGGAAGGAGGUAGGCAGAGCCAGAGCAGAGCGAUGGCAAGGAGGACUUCAACGACACGGAGCUUGAUGCUGGUAUGGACAUGCUGCCUAAUGUGUUGUUAGCCUGACUCCAGUGUCUCCUAUAGUCUCCAUGCCACUCGCCUUCUUCAUGUGGAGCCCCCAGCUCUUCCCAGUCUAUUACAGCCCUUAGCUUUGUCUCCACCUCCCAAGCUGUCCACCUCCCAAGCUGUCCAGCUGUCCAGCUGUUCCACAGGCAUGCCACAGUGACCAUGCCUACCAGCCAAGUGAGGCCAGAGAAAUUGGGCUCAAGUCUCAGAGCACUCUGGAGAGAAACAGUACAGGGGUUGUGGCUCAUUCCAUAGCUGUCUGGCCACCUGCGGACAGGCCAGGACCUACAUACCAGCCCUGUCCUUGGGGCCAACCUGACGUAUGUGUAGUUGGAGGGGCUGGGCGUGUACUAGGUGGUAAAGGUCUCAGCUGACGAUUCUCCAUACCCACCACGUGUCUCCUCCAGGAAGCCCCGGGUUGAUGCCAGAAGGUACCGGAAAGUGUAUGGCAUGGGACUCGUGGUGCUCAGCUUGUGGCUGGAAGAAAGCCUGCUAGCAGUUCCUGGACUGAGCCAAUCUGUGAUGCUACUGCCUGGCCUCUUUCUCACUCCUAGCCUGAACCUGCAGCAAACCUGUGGUGGGGUGACUCCUGGAGGGGAGAAAUGAUUGCAUACUCAAAGCGCCUUGAGACUGCUUGUUGUCCUUUGGCUGCAGGGGCAGUUUGCCUCCCUGUCUGUCACUUACCUACUUGUCGAAGAUGUUGAUGGACCCUGUAAAGCCUGUUUAAGAUGCACUUUGAGAGGUAUGGGGAGGAGUCUCGUGCCCACACGCAAGGUGGUGGUUGCAGGACCUUGAGACUGACGUUCACCAUGUAAUGAAGCUCAGGUGUCUUGUGCCUUGGCCAUAGGAGUUGAGGAGAAAAAUUAAAAAUUGUGGAG